UCACAAACCUGUUUUUUUUAAAAUAGCAUGAAUUUGCGAAAGGCUGAUGAAAGCAGCCCUCGUUUUAUUCCCUUCUGGGGCUGUUCACUGCUGCCUGACUCAUCUCUGAACUCCAGCUGAAUCAGGGAGCACAAACCUGCCGGUAAGCCGCCUUUUUCGGGUUGGUUCGUUUUCUUGACACACAUAAGAACCGCGCUGCUGGCCACGCUGAAAUCGCGAAAAACAGAAAUUGUGUGAAAAAGCAGGGGGUGGGACACGAGCAGGGUGCCAGCCGCCUCCUCCCCCCCCCCACAGCGGGAGAGAGGGAAAGGGUCCCUUAGCGGCGGGGGAAAGGGCUUGGAGUGGGGUGAGCAACUCGGACGGUUGUUUGCCGGAGCUGUUCCCGGGGGAACACGGAUGGUUUCCAUCACCCGGGUGGCAGCCAACAGCCUUUCCCAUGAGGUCUGCAGGGAGGUCACGGCUUUUUUUAGCCCGGCUGAUGGAAGUAGGGGAAAAAGCAGAGUGCUUCCCAGCGGACAGGCUGGAAGAGCAACCAGGAGCCCAAAAGUUUGGGGAUGCAUCACCUGGCUAAAAGCCUGGAGGGUUGGGGGCCACUCGGCAGAGCCUCCCACCACCCCCUGGGAUAGUGGAUUUUGGUGCCUGUAUGUCAUCCCCUCCCCAGCCCCCUGCUGCUGCCAUGGUCCCCGUGGGUUUGGCUGAAAGCCCUGGGAAAUGAGACUUUUCCCAGCAAAGGCCCUUUCCGAUGGGAAAAACCCCUGAGCCUUUCCCAAUGGGUGCAGCCAACUGCUUCGGGGGAAGCAGGAGCAGCCAUCGGCCGUGGGAAACUCUCCCUUCCCCACAUCUCAGCGGGGGGGUGAUGGGGGGGCCGUAUAAACCCAUCGGCACAUCCCGGGCUGGGAGCUGCAGCGAGGAGAAGCCAGGUGAUUCCCUGCCCCUUUGCUGAAACGCAAGAAGCAGAAGAGGUUUUUUUCAAGCAGCCUAAAUGAAAAAAAGCCUAUUUUUCUGCAGGGCAGCAGACCCUGCCAGGCCGUCCGGUGUCACUGGAGGAGGCAACAGCAGACGCUGGCUCUGGAGGAUGCGGGGAAGCAGCCACGGUUCGGCCCUGCAAUUCCAGCCUGCUGGGGUUUUCUAUAUAAACCCUACCAAAGAAAAAGCACAGCUACAGGGAGCCAAAACCAAGGGGAUGAGGAGCAGGAACCUGCCCUGGCCAAGCUCACCAGUUCUGAAGUGCUCAAUGAGAAAAGGAAAAUGAUCGGUUUUGUCGUACUGAGAAGAAAGCCACAAUUGGAUUUGUACGCCGAGAAAUGAUGCUUCCAGCAAUGUGAGGGACUUUCCAUCUGCAGGAGGGAACUGGGGCGCUCACCUCUCAAACAGCAUCUUCUUGCACUUCAGCAGAAAACAAACCCAAUGCAAGAAAACAGUGCUGGCUUAUAAAAGAAAAAAAAGAGCUAGUGCACCGAUUAUACUCUACUAUAGAUAGCUAGUUUAGUCUCCAUUUUAAGAGGUCAUCAGACAUGUGAUAAAGCCACCGUACAAUCCCCUAAACAGCUGGGGGAGAAAGGAGCAGCCUGUGACCCACGCAGGACCCUGUGUGGUACCUGCACCACCUCUCUCCCUUCCUGCAAACCCAAGUGUAGGAUCCGAGCACGAAUCAGAGCCUUAAGGGGAAAAAAAAACCAACAACCAAAACAACAACCCAAACAAAAAAACCAAAACAACCCCACACAAAACAAAACAGAGCAUUUUGGCACAACAGCUUAGAAGGAAUCACAAGGGAAUAGACAUAGCUUCCAAUCUCAAAAUAUUCAAAGGAUUAGUGGGGCAGUAAAAAAAAAAAAAGUUUAAAUAAAAGUCUGGCUCCAACCUGACUGGAAAAUGUAUUUCUGAGCCAAACUAGCACUUCUUGGCUCGAGGAUCUGUUUUGUUUUCAUGCUGUAGUAGCGCAGUAGUACCCGCCGCCUGCCCAGGGACGGCCCCGGCAUAUUUAUUUUCCUCACUGGUGAAUGAAACACAGCGGAGCCCUCGCGAUACUCCACCCCAAUGCUCCGGGAAUGCAAACAGGAUCUCAGCUGGGGCGGGGCGACCAUCCAAAAAUCCCACCACCGUCACCAGAGCCGGCCCCGGACUGCCUUC
Molecule: long non-coding RNA, 2133 nt
Organism: Chroicocephalus ridibundus (black-headed gull)
Lineage: Eukaryota; Metazoa; Chordata; Aves; Charadriiformes; Laridae
Exons: 5
Source: RefSeq, a predicted model, not a curated record